CCCGGGCGGUGGGCGUGUGCCUCGAGCUCGGACUAGAGGAGCGGAGGGCUCGAUGGGGUCUCCGGAGCUGCUGGUGGUUUUACUAGAGCGCUUGUUUCUCCCUUCCCGGACCUAGAGGAUGGCCCCGGGGUCGGCCAGGCCAGGAUGUUUAGUGAGAAGCCCCGGCCAGGUGUGGCUGCGUCGGCCAUGUUCUAACCUGGCAAAUGGGACGCCAGCUAGUGGCGUAAUUGCCCCUCAGGUCGGGGCCGUGACUACGAGGAACUAAGCAAGACCUCCUAGGAAGAUGGGAAACAGGACCCGAACGUCAGUGCCUCCUUACCUGUCCUUCUUCCCGACGAAAUGCGGCCUGGAUGCUUCAGCAAGGAAGCCUACGUUGUCUCCUUAGUAGGCCAAACCUCAGUCACUGAGUAAAAUAAAAGAUCACUUAACUUGCCUCUUUGGGUUGCUA
Perognathus longimembris pacificus (Pacific pocket mouse) is the source of this 448-nucleotide long non-coding RNA. RefSeq lists it as uncharacterized. The transcript has 2 exons. Lineage: Eukaryota; Metazoa; Chordata; Mammalia; Rodentia; Heteromyidae. The record is from RefSeq and is a predicted model, not a curated record.